RNAcentral lists this transfer RNA (56 nucleotides) under Hydrocotyle sp. 'hamelinensis'. RNAcentral's name for it is "partial tRNA-His". Lineage: Eukaryota; Viridiplantae; Streptophyta; Magnoliopsida; Apiales; Araliaceae. The record is from RNAcentral.
UCGCGCAUGGGGUGGUUUCACAAUCCACUGCCUUAAUCCACUUGGCUACAUCCGCC